UCGGCUGCCAUCCUUCUUUCCUCUGUCUUCUUGUCCCAUCCUUCUCUGCAUCCUGCUGGGUCUUAGCUAUCUGUGUGAAGGCUCACUUUGUCUGCACCAGGGGAGGAUCUAGAUCAGAUGGCUCAUAGAGAUUGAUCCUUUCCCUGUUGGCUGACAGACCCUUUCAGACUGCUGGGAAGGUUUGGUGGAACUGGGUUGGAACUGAAUGACUUUGUGCUGAGCCCUCAUCUUUUCUACCUCUUCCGUCCUCCCCUCUGCAUUCACACCUCAGGGUGUGUGGAGAUCCACCCCCACUGGAAGGGCCAGAUGUCAUCGUGCCUAUCCUCAAGGAUGAUGGAUCCUACCUGCUCUGUGGAUACUGGGCAGAUGAGCCUGAAGCACCAGCCCAGGUCUGGGCUGAGGCCUGGCAUGCAAAAACCCAGCAGCCCAUCUGCUGUGCUGAGGCUUUUUGGUUUGCUUUUUUCUGUUGAGGAAGACCUACUCACAGCAUCCUGAAAAUGCAUUGCAAAUGGAAAGAGAGCAAAUAUGUAUGCACUGAGGUGAGUACCGGCCAUGGGUGCCUGCACAUGAUGCUGGUGUGACACAGUGGCUGCAAGGACCCCCAGAGCGGCUUCUUCAAGUGAAACCCAUGCAAUGCCCAUGACAUUUCUACCAUGCAUUUAUUGUAAGCAAGUAAAAUAUUGUGUAAAAAUAUCACUGGGUCUGGAAUCUGGACAUUGGGGGCUGCUGUGAGUGAAGGAGCCACAACAUAGGGGUUACUUCUAUGGCAUUGUUACAAUAAAGUGGUGACUCUGUGAAGCUUUGCUCA
This 808-nucleotide long non-coding RNA is filed under the name Oryctolagus cuniculus (rabbit). RNAcentral describes it as "lncRNA (ENSOCUG00000035401.1)". Lineage: Eukaryota; Metazoa; Chordata; Mammalia; Lagomorpha; Leporidae. The record is from RNAcentral.